Musca domestica (house fly) is the source of this 840-nucleotide long non-coding RNA. RefSeq lists it as uncharacterized. Lineage: Eukaryota; Metazoa; Arthropoda; Insecta; Diptera; Muscidae. The transcript is spliced from 3 exons. The record is from RefSeq and is a predicted model, not a curated record.
CUUUUUUUACCCAAGUGACGAGAUCGUAAAGUCAAUAGUUGGUCCUACCAUGAGUAUUUUGAGGAGUUACAAACGGAAUGACAAUGUUAAUAUACCAUAGUAUGGUACAUGGUAGAAUUAAGAAGGUAAAGUCAUGCAAUCAUAUGUUUACAUUUUUUUCAACUCUAACUCAUUUGACAACUUUUCAUCGUCAAAAUAUUUAUUAACAAAUCCAUUGUAUAUACACAAAUCAGCGAUGGGAAACUGUGGUCUAUACAGAGUAAUUUGUCAGAGUAUGUUACAAAAAUGGCAGAGAUGAAUAUGCUUAUUUGAAAUGACUACUUUCUUCAUUAUACGAUAGUAUGGUAGAUGGUAUAAAAAUUAACUUUUCGUCAGCAAGAUUCUAAUACAUUUAUACAUUUGAAAGAAAAAAUUUCAAUACAUAUUUACAGCCUGUUCCACGAUAUCGAAAAAAAAUUGUGCAAACGAAAGUUAGUCACUCACAGCCGAAAACGCAUGCGAACACAAUUGAGGAAAAUUGUUUCAACAUAUAUAUUGUUUGAUUAAAACUUGAAACAAAACGCACGAAAAAAACAUCAACUACACAGCUGCGUGCGUUAGAAACAUCAAACCGUACAAAAAUUACCCCCAUUCAAAUCACAUCACAACAAGAUGUUCCAUCCACACCGUAGCCAAAAAAAAAAACAAAUGCCAAGGAGCAAAAGGAUGGCUGACGCUGCGAGAGGCUGGCAAAUUGUGCCGAGGCCCAAACAAAGAUUUUUAAAUCAAAAUAAUCAAUUAUCAAUUUUUGUACAAAAUAACCCACAAAAUAGCACAAUAAUAGUAAUUUCAACAACUUUU